AUGCUACUGCACGAGGUGCACCUGGAUGAGCUCACUGAGGACGACAUCCUAUUGAAGCACACGGAAUCUGGGCACUACUCCGCGGCCUCCGCUUACAGGGCACAAUUUUUGGGCUUGGUCCUCUCCCCCAUGGACCAAAUGGUCUGAAAGGCUUGGGUCCCACCAAAAGUCAAGUUCUUUGCUUGGCUCGCGCUUCAGGAUAGGAUCUGGACUGCAGACAGAUUGGAGAAGCGAGGAUGGCCAAACUGUGGCCCCUGCCCCUUGUGCCAACGGGUGUAGGAAUGUGACCCGCAUCUUUUCUUCAGAUGCCGCUUCACUCUCAGGCUUUGA
Molecule: ribosomal RNA, 330 nt
Filed under: Triticum aestivum (bread wheat)
Lineage: Eukaryota; Viridiplantae; Streptophyta; Magnoliopsida; Poales; Poaceae
Description: partial small subunit ribosomal RNA
Source: RNAcentral